GAUGAACGCUGGCGGCGUGCCUAAUACAUGCAAGUCGAGCGAACGGACGAGAAGCUUGCUUCUCUGAUGUUAGCGGCGGACGGGUGUGUAACACGUGGAUAACCUACCUAUAAGACUGGGAUAACUUCGGGAAACCGGAGCUAAUACCGGAUAAUAUUUUGAACCGCAUGGUUCAAAAGUGAAAGACGGUCUUGCUGUCACUUAUAGAUGGAUCCGCGCUGCAUUAGCUAGUUGGUAAGGUAACGGCUUACCAAGGCAACGAUGCAUAGCCGACCUGAGAGGGUGAUCGGCCACACUGGAACUGAGACACGGUCCAGACUCCUACGGGAGGCAGCAGUAGGGAAUCUUCCGCAAUGGGCGAAAGCCUGACGGAGCAACGCCGAGUGAGUGAUGAAGGUCUUCGGAUCGUAAAACUCUGUUAUUAGGGAAGAACAUAUGUGUAAGUAACUGUGCACAUCUUGACGGUACCUAAUCAGAAAGCCACGGCUAACUACGUG
Molecule: ribosomal RNA, 497 nt
Filed under: uncultured bacterium
Lineage: Bacteria
Description: partial 16S ribosomal RNA
Rfam family: Bacterial small subunit ribosomal RNA
Source: RNAcentral